RNAcentral lists this ribosomal RNA (497 nucleotides) under uncultured bacterium. Its description in RNAcentral is "partial 16S ribosomal RNA". It matches the Rfam family "Bacterial small subunit ribosomal RNA", at positions 28 to 507 of the family's 1533-position model. The record is from RNAcentral.
GAUGAACGCUGGCGGCGUGCCUAAUACAUGCAAGUCGAGCGAACGGACGAGAAGCUUGCUUCUCUGAUGUUAGCGGCGGACGGGUGAGUAACACGUGGAUAACCUACCUAUAAGACUGGGAUAACUUCGGGAAACCGGAGCUAAUACCGGAUAAUAUUUUGAACCGCAUGGUUCAAAAGUGAAAGACGGUCUUGCUGUCACUUAUAGAUGGAUCCGCGCUGCAUUAGCUAGUUGGUAAGGUAACGGCUUACCAAGGCAACGAUGCAUAGCCGACCGGAGAGGGUGAUAGGCCACACUGGAACGGAGCCACGGUCCAGACGCCUACGGGAGGCAGCAGUAGGGAAUCUGACGCAAUGGGCGAAAGCCUGACGGAGCAACGGCGCGUGAGAGAUGAAGGUCUUCGGAUCGUAAAAAUCUGUUAUGAGUGAAGAACAUAUGUGUAAGUAACUGUGCACAUCGUGACGGUACCUAAUCAGAAAGCCACGGCUAACUACGUG